CGACGGUUGGAGAAGGCAGUCGCGUUUGUGUUUUGUCCGUUUCUUUCCUGUCCUUGUUUCCUGUAUUUAAGAGCCUCAGCAGCUUGGCCCAUCUCAGUGAGUGAACGCAGAUGGGAGAGAUGCCCAGCAGUGGAAAACUGGGAAUAAACUGGCUUAAUGAAAGCAUCAUGGCACAGUGAAAAGCCAGUCUAAGCCGUCAGUGAGAAUGUCCCGCGGGUAGGAAGAUGGGCUGGUGUGCGUGCUGGGGGCUGGAAGCUUGCCUAGAUCCAGGAGCUCUGUUGGCCCUCUGCGGGCUUAUGGUAGACCACUCUCUCACUACACAGUACCUCCUGGGAACAACCAGAAAGCUGAUAUGCCAUGUUACAGGGUGACGGCCACCUUCAUGACGAAGUUAUGCUCUGCAAGGCUAUGGUGCACAAUAACAGCUAUUCACUACUUACUGCUGUCUCUGUUUCACAAGUUUCUUGCUCAUCAACUUGCGUCAUCAUCCAUUUGUAUCAAAGAAUUUCAUUGUUCAGCAC
This is a long non-coding RNA of Cheilinus undulatus (humphead wrasse), 521 nucleotides long. RefSeq lists it as uncharacterized. The transcript is spliced from 3 exons. The record is from RefSeq and is a predicted model, not a curated record. NCBI's taxonomy places the organism in Eukaryota, Metazoa, Chordata, Actinopteri, Labriformes, Labridae.